AAGUCGUAACAAGGUUUCCGUAGGUGAACCUGCGGAAGGAUCAUUACAACGUAUCCACGUACCAAACUCUCGAACUGUUCCCAACGGAGCAAAGCACACACUUGUGUGAGAAGUUAAUGGCCGACUGUCUUUCGCUGAUGGAGUCCACAGACUUUUGUCUGAGGACUGAAAGGCUAUCGGUUGCUGGAGCUUCGGCUCUGGGACUUUGUUUGCUUCGUUGCGGUUUCUACCGUCAGCACUUGUUUUACCAUUAUUAACCCUUUGAAUUAUUGAACUGAACUUGAAAGCCUCGCAACCGUCCUUGUUGGCUUCGGUCACGGACAGUGUAGCUUGGUUUUUCUCAUUUACGAAACAAAGAACAACUCUUAGUAACGGAUAUCUUGGUUCUC
RNAcentral lists this unclassified non-coding RNA (389 nucleotides) under fungal sp. RNAcentral describes it as "partial internal transcribed spacer region". The stretch from base 1 to 46 matches the Rfam family "Eukaryotic small subunit ribosomal RNA", at positions 1786 to 1831 of the family's 1831-position model. The record is from RNAcentral. Lineage: Eukaryota; Fungi.